This 1049-nucleotide long non-coding RNA is filed under the name Theobroma cacao (cacao). RNAcentral's name for it is "long non-coding RNA (TCAC_LNC003388)". The record is from RNAcentral. Lineage: Eukaryota; Viridiplantae; Streptophyta; Magnoliopsida; Malvales; Malvaceae.
UCCGAUAAAGGCAAGGAAAUUGCAUCCGAGGACCAGUAGACAGAGUGCUUCGAAAGUCUGCAUUCUAGACAUUGUGAGUAAACUUACUGUCAUUUUAAUUAUCUAGGGUGGUUUUUAGAUGCUUUCAUGAAUUCUAUGGAAAAAGGAAUUUAAAAAGAUAAAUUUUCAUGUUUUAUGAAUAAAUGAGUUUCAAUGAAAUUAAAUUAUAAAUUGUUUUGAAAUUAAUAGUGAUUUUGAAAAAUAGAGUACACGGAGACUGUUAAUUGUGGCAAUUUGAUUGUUUAAAUUAACUGGCUUAUGAUAAAUCGAGCAUGAUUGGUUAGUUGGCAAUUGUAUUGAAAUGCGAAUUGUUUGGUUACCUUGAAAAACUACGAAUUACAAAAUUGCCAUAUCAUGUUAUUGAGUUUUAUUAUAUGGUGGAUUAUAUAUUAAUUAAUCACUGCAGUAGGGGGUUUCUGUGGACCAGCCUUUUAGAAGCGCACGGUAAACCCCAUUAUAUUCUUACCUCGAACGGAGAGGCGCGUAGGGUAUCUCCUGGGGUAAAGUUUAGGGUUCACUUCACGCUAAACCACCACGUGAGGGGGAACUCAGCCAACGCCAAGGAACGGCUAUGUUUUCAAAACAAAAACAUGAUUUAUGUGAAAUGUGAAUUUUAAUAGCCUUGGUGGUCUCGGUAGGAUGCCUCGGCCAAGGUGUCCCCGAGAAUGGAUUUAUGGCACAAGCCUAGAUUUUUAUGAGAUUCAUAAGCCUUUUUACGUAUUUUGAACGAGAUGUGUUCUAAUUGUAUAACCCAGUUUAUGAUGAUUUACUUUAUUGUCUCAAUGUACUCAACUCUAGAUGUUUAUGUUGAUGUCUGUUUACUCAUUGGGAUUUUAUAAUCUCACCACCCUCAUUUCCACCCAUUUUAGGUUCAGUAUAGACUGUAGAUAGCUGAUCUCAUCGAGGACUACAGUGGGAUCUGCAUUUUCCAAACCGUAGGUUCACAGUCCUCUUUACUUUUGUUUAUUCGGGGGCAUUCUUGUUAUUGUAAAUUAAAUUAAAUAUUUUGG